Molecule: small nuclear RNA, 197 nt
Filed under: Myotis brandtii (Brandt's bat)
Lineage: Eukaryota; Metazoa; Chordata; Mammalia; Chiroptera; Vespertilionidae
Description: U4 spliceosomal RNA
Rfam family: U4 spliceosomal RNA
About the family: U4 small nuclear RNA (U4 snRNA) is a component of the major U2-dependent spliceosome. The structure of U4 snRNA from yeast and human has been reported.
Source: Rfam by way of RNAcentral
AGCUUUGUGCAGUAGCAGUAUCGUAGCCAAUGAUACAUUGGAGAAUGAUCUUUUGACUGGAAAGUGUAAAUUAAGAACCUUCUGCUUUCUUAUAACCGAGGCAUGAUUAUUGCUAAUUGAAAAGAAAAAAACAAACAAACCAUGGGGUUGUUUCCUUAAAAAAAAACUGUCAGCAUUCAUUUUUUAUUGAUCCUAAU